UACGGAGGGUGCAAGCGUUGUCCGGAUUUAUUGGGUUUAAAGGGUGCGUAGGCGGGAAUUUAAGUCAGCGGUGAAAGUUCAGGGCUCAACCCUGAAAUUGCCAUUGAUACUGGAUUUCUUGAGUGUCGAUGGGGUACAUGGAAUUUAUGGUGUAGCGGUGAAAUGCAUAGAUACCAUAAGGAACACCGAUAGCGAAGGCAUUGUACUUAUCGAUAACUGACGCUGAGGCACGAAAGCGUGGGUAGCGAACAGG
Molecule: ribosomal RNA, 253 nt
Filed under: uncultured bacterium
Lineage: Bacteria
Description: partial 16S ribosomal RNA
Rfam family: Bacterial small subunit ribosomal RNA
Source: RNAcentral